Pelobates cultripes (western spadefoot toad) is the source of this 215-nucleotide non-coding RNA. The record is from the annotation of a GenBank genome assembly. NCBI's taxonomy places the organism in Eukaryota, Metazoa, Chordata, Amphibia, Anura, Pelobatidae.
CUUCUUGAUCCUUAAAUCUUUCAAAGUGAUUAAGAGACUGUUCACAACAUAAGGACAAUAAUGGGUAUUCAUAUAAAUGACAUUGAAUCUCUUUUUGCAAUAAGUUGCGAUCCAAACAACUGAUUUAGCAGAUUUGUAAAUUUCUCACCCUGCACCAUUUCAGCUCCUGUAAUUCAAAACCAUACAUUGAAAAUUGCCUUUGGUAAAUGUUCCUG